GGUUCUAGCUCAGUUGGUAGAGCGUUUGCCUUACAUAUGUGAGACACUGGAUUUGAUCCUCAGCACCACAUAAAAACAAAUAAGUAAAAUAGAGUUAUCAUGUCCGUCUAAAACUAAAAUAAAUAAAAAUGUUUGGGGCUGGGGAUAUAGCUCAUUUGGGAGAGUGCUUGCCUCACAUGUACAAGGCCCUGGGUUCAAUCCCCAGCACCA
This 210-nucleotide transfer RNA is filed under the name Marmota monax (woodchuck). RNAcentral describes it as "tRNA.Val". The record is from RNAcentral. Lineage: Eukaryota; Metazoa; Chordata; Mammalia; Rodentia; Sciuridae.